Long non-coding RNA from Saccostrea cuccullata (small rock oyster), 266 nucleotides. RefSeq lists it as uncharacterized. The transcript is spliced from 3 exons. The record is from RefSeq and is a predicted model, not a curated record. Lineage: Eukaryota; Metazoa; Mollusca; Bivalvia; Ostreida; Ostreidae.
UCAGCUUUCUCUGCUGAAAUAAUGUUGCCAAAUCAAGUGUCAUCUAGAAAGAGGAAUGCCAAGGGUGCUUUUUACAUGAACUCCAAAAUAGCCAUUGGAAAGUUCAAGCCAGAUCUUUUACAGCAAACUGAAAAUAAAGUAGCAUACUUGUGUGACAGGAAACAAGGAAUAUGUAUGGCUGGACUGAGAAUCUAACCGGGGAUCCCUGCAUCAUUAGUCAGAUCUUAUGGAAAUAUACGAUCCUUGGCUAAUCAAGUGUCAUCUGC